CAAAAAUUAUGAAAUUAGUGUCUAAACGACCGUAUCGACGUUGCGGUUCUAUUUUUGACAGUUUGGAAGCGUUUCGAGGUCGUUCGAAAGGGAAAAGCUCCAGCACAGUGAUUUGAAGCUCGCGUGUUUAGCCUACAGGACCGAGCACCAGCUACUGUCACGAAUAGAUCGAUCUUGUUGUAGUCAGAUUCGGAGACUAGGGUGAUAACUUGGCGUUUUUGGAUCACUUCUGUCUCCUUCAGAAUGGAUGGCCCGUCUUUUGCCUUUUGAGACUAGCCAGUUGUUGUAUAUAUAUGUCUGGUCCACUUUCGGGACUUGUACUCAUCUUUUAUUUUAUAGCAGCUCUGUACUUGUGACUUCCAGGUUCUGGGAAGGAUCUUUAGUUAUUUAAAACAUGUUUUGGUUUA
Molecule: long non-coding RNA, 407 nt
Organism: Solanum dulcamara
Lineage: Eukaryota; Viridiplantae; Streptophyta; Magnoliopsida; Solanales; Solanaceae
Exons: 2
Source: RefSeq, a predicted model, not a curated record